This 2079-nucleotide ribosomal RNA is filed under the name Salmonella enterica subsp. enterica serovar Enteritidis. Its description in RNAcentral is "partial 23S ribosomal RNA". It matches the Rfam family "Bacterial large subunit ribosomal RNA", at positions 711 to 2771 of the family's 2925-position model. The record is from RNAcentral. Lineage: Bacteria; Pseudomonadati; Pseudomonadota; Gammaproteobacteria; Enterobacterales; Enterobacteriaceae.
AGACCCGAAACCCGGUGAUCUAGCCAUGGGCAGGUUGAAGGUUGGGUAACACUAACUGGAGGACCGAACCGACUAAUGUUGAAAAAUUAGCGGAUGACCUGUGGCUGGGGGUGAAAGGCCAAUCAAACCGGGAGAUAGCUGGUUCUCCCCGAAAGCUAUUUAGGUAGCGCCUCGUGAAUUCAUCUCCGGGGGUAGAGCACUGUUUCGGCUAGGGGGCCAUCCCGGCUUACCAACCCGAUGCAAACUGCGAAUACCGGAGAAUGUUAUCACGGGAGACACACGGCGGGUGCUAACGUCCGUCGUGAAGAGGGAAACAACCCAGACCGCCAGCUAAGGUCCCAAAGUCAUGGUUAAGUGGGAAACGAUGUGGGAAGGCCCAGACAGCCAGGAUGUUGGCUUAGAAGCAGCCAUCAUUUAAAGAAAGCGUAAUAGCUCACUGGUCGAGUCGGCCUGCGCGGAAGAUGUAACGGGGCUAAACCAUGCACCGAAGCUGCGGCAGCGACACUGUGUGUUGUUGGGUAGGGGAGCGUUCUGUAAGCCUGUGAAGGUGUGUCGUGAGGCAUGCUGGAGGUAUCAGAAGUGCGAAUGCUGACAUAAGUAACGAUAAAGCGGGUGAAAAGCCCGCUCGCCGGAAGACCAAGGGUUCCUGUCCAACGUUAAUCGGGGCAGGGUGAGUCGACCCCUAAGGCGAGGCCGAAAGGCGUAGUCGAUGGGAAACGGGUUAAUAUUCCCGUACUUGGUGUUACUGCGAAGGGGGGACGGAGAAGGCUAUGUUGGCCGGGCGACGGUUGUCCCGGUUUAAGCGUGUAGGUGUGUGUUCCAGGUAAAUCCGGUUCACUUUAACACUGAGGCGUGACGACGAGGCACUACGGUGCUGAAGCAACAAAUGCCCUGCUUCCAGGAAAAGCCUCUAAGCAUCAGGUAACAUCAAAUCGUACCCCAAACCGACACAGGUGGUCAGGUAGAGAAUACCAAGGCGCUUGAGAGAACUCGGGUGAAGGAACUAGGCAAAAUGGUGCCGUAACUUCGGGAGAAGGCACGCUGACACGUAGGUGAAGUGAUUUACUCAUGGAGCUGAAGUCAGUCGAAGAUACCAGCUGGCUGCAACUGUUUAUUAAAAACACAGCACUGUGCAAACACGAAAGUGGACGUAUACGGUGUGACGCCUGCCCGGUGCCGGAAGGUUAAUUGAUGGGGUCAGCGCAAGCGAAGCUCCUGAUCGAAGCCCCGGUAAACGGCGGCCGUAACUAUAACGGUCCUAAGGUAGCGAAAUUCCUUGUCGGGUAAGUUCCGACCUGCACGAAUGGCGUAAUGAUGGCCAGGCUGUCUCCACCCGAGACUCAGUGAAAUUGAACUCGCUGUGAAGAUGCAGUGUACCCGCGGCAAGACGGAAAGACCCCGUGAACCUUUACUAUAGCUUGACACUGAACAUUGAGCCUUGAUGUGUAGGAUAGGUGGGAGGCUUUGAAGUGUGGACGCCAGUCUGCAUGGAGCCGACCUUGAAAUACCACCCUUUAAUGUUUGAUGUUCUAACGUGGACCCGUUACCCGGGUUGCGGACAGUGUCUGGUGGGUAGUUUGACUGGGGCGGUCUCCUCCUAAAGAGUAACGGAGGAGCACGAAGGUUGGCUAAUCCUGGUCGGACAUCAGGAGGUUAGUGCAAUGGCAUAAGCCAGCUUGACUGCGAGCGUGACGGCGCGAGCAGGUGCGAAAGCAGGUCAUAGUGAUCCGGUGGUUCUGAAUGGAAGGGCCAUCGCUCAACGGAUAAAAGGUACUCCGGGGAUAACAGGCUGAUACCGCCCAAGAGUUCAUAUCGACGGCGGUGUUUGGCACCUCGAUGUCGGCUCAUCACAUCCUGGGGCUGAAGUAGGUCCCAAGGGUAUGGCUGUUCGCCAUUUAAAGUGGUACGCGAGCUGGGUUUAGAACGUCGUGAGACAGUUCGGUCCCUAUCUGCCGUGGGCGCUGGAGAACUGAGGGGGGCUGCUCCUAGUACGAGAGGACCGGAGUGGACGCAUCACUGGUGUUCGGGUUGUCAUGCCAAUGGCACUGCCCGGUAGCUAAAUGCGGAAGAGAUAAGUGC